UGAAAAUGCCAGUGAAUGAAAAACCACAAUAAACUAAAACAAGUUUGGAUCACAUAUAUUUUAGGAGUAUAUUUUCAACAAAGUAACUGAAAUCAUUAUUACUAAAUUAUAUUUUUCAAAAGGAUAAAGAAAAUGUUAUUCUCUCAAUAGUGGCAAAUUAGAUAUCACUAUGCACAAACCACUUGAACGGUUGGACCAAAAAAAUAAAAGAAACUGCUUCCUCAUUUUGUGAUAUUGCAAUUUUCCGUUAAUAUUUUACCAUUAGGAAAAGAACUGAUAGCAUGCCCACACAAAUAUAGGAACUCAAUGAAUAA
Molecule: unclassified non-coding RNA, 314 nt
Filed under: Hevea brasiliensis (rubber tree)
Lineage: Eukaryota; Viridiplantae; Streptophyta; Magnoliopsida; Malpighiales; Euphorbiaceae
Source: RNAcentral